RNAcentral lists this ribosomal RNA (510 nucleotides) under uncultured bacterium. Its description in RNAcentral is "partial 16S ribosomal RNA". It matches the Rfam family "Bacterial small subunit ribosomal RNA", at positions 28 to 507 of the family's 1533-position model. The record is from RNAcentral.
GACGAACGCUGGCGGCGUGCUUAACACAUGCAAGUCGAACGAAGAGCGAUGGAAGCUUGCUUCUAUCAAUCUUAGUGGCGCACGGGUGAGUAACGCGUAAUCAACCUGCCCUUCAGAGGGGGACAACAGUUGGAAACGACUGCUAAUACCGCAUACGAUCUAAUCUCGGCAUCGAGGAUAGAUGAAAGGUGGCCUCUACAUGUAAGCUAUCACUGAAGGAGGGGAUUGCGUCUGAUUAGCUAGGUGGAGGGGUAACGGCCCACCAAGGCGAUGAUCAGUAGCCGGUCUGAGAGGAUGAACGGCCACAUUGGGACUGAGACACGGCCCAGACUCCUACGGGAGGCAGCAGUGGGGAAUCUUCCGCAAUGGACGAAAGUCUGACGGAGCAACGCCGCGUGAGUGAUGACGGCCUUCGGGUUGUAAAGCUCUGUUAAUCGGGACGAAAGGCCUUCUUGCGAAUAGUGAGAAGGAUUGACGGUACCGGAAGAGAAAGCCACGGCUAACUACGUG